Molecule: transfer-messenger RNA, 401 nt
Filed under: Novosphingobium ovatum
Lineage: Bacteria; Pseudomonadati; Pseudomonadota; Alphaproteobacteria; Sphingomonadales; Sphingomonadaceae
Description: Novosphingobium sp. FSY-8 transfer-messenger RNA
Rfam family: Alphaproteobacteria transfer-messenger RNA
About the family: Bacterial tmRNA, also known as 10Sa RNA or SsrA, is named for its dual tRNA and mRNA-like properties. Its role is to liberate the mRNA from a stalled ribosome.
Source: RNAcentral
CCCCUUUUCUUUUUGGCGCACAGGCCUAUAUGCGGUUCUGCCGGUUUCGACCGGAUAUGGCGAUAAACUGCGGCGUGCAAUAGGCGCAGCGGACCCGGGGGCGGUACCCGGCGGCUCCACCAUCACCACCCGGAAUUUUGGCCGGGGCCCUGUUGUCGCAGGGGUGUUGACGGGGCCGAACUAGGAUCGACGUGUGUUGAAAAACGCUGUUUUCGCCCGGGCUGAGUAACCCGUUCAAGGCUCAAAACUCAUAAGUGCCAACGACAACGAAGCACUUGCUCUGGCUGCGUAAUUCUAGGACCUAACGGUCUGAAGUUACAAAUACAGAACACGGUUGAACCCACCGGGUAACAGAAGGGAAUUCGGGGGCCCGGGGGUGCCUAGCAACAGAAACCCCCACC